ACCUCUAUAGCUCAGUUGGUAGAACAGGAGACUCCUAACCUUAGGGUCAUGGGUUCGAGCCCCAUGUUGGGGAA
Non-coding RNA from Podarcis lilfordi (Lilford's wall lizard), 74 nucleotides. NCBI's taxonomy places the organism in Eukaryota, Metazoa, Chordata, Lepidosauria, Squamata, Lacertidae. The record is from the annotation of a GenBank genome assembly.